Molecule: long non-coding RNA, 887 nt
Filed under: Pan troglodytes (chimpanzee)
Lineage: Eukaryota; Metazoa; Chordata; Mammalia; Primates; Hominidae
Description: lncRNA (ENSPTRG00000054431.1)
Source: RNAcentral
AUGAUAUCUGUACGGUGGCUGCCUUUCAUGGGGGUGAGUUCUGAGAGGAGACAUGCCAAUGUACAAAUGUUUAUCAAGCUUUUGUUUGUAUUACAGGCAGUUUUGAACAUCUGGAGGCCUGAUUUAUUGGAGAUUGCAAAUGUACGGUGUAACAUAGCUGUGGAGAGCGAGAAGAUCAGGAUUGUCAAUGCUGUCAUUGCUUUUACUGGAAUCCCCAGCACGAAUUGAAGAGACUCCAUGAAGGAAAAAGUAUAGUAUUGAUGAGGAAUACCUUGUUAUAUUUCAAUAAGGAUACCUGGAUUCUAUAUCAUAUAAGGUAAGAUACUGAUUCUAUUAGGCUUUCAAAAUUGGUAUAAAUUUGGAGAUAUCAUACUCUUAGGGCCAGUUAAAUAUCAUUUUUUAAAAAAAAUUUCUACCCUAUUUUGCUUCUUUUUACAUAGCUUCUUUCUACAUAUUUUUGGUAGUUUUAAACAUUUCAAAUUUGACAUGAAAGUCACGUGUGUGUAUAUAUACAUACAGACUUUAUAUACAAAGUUUAUAUAUAUGACUGUGUUUGUUUACAUAUAUAGUAUAUUGGAAUGCUCAGGUGAAGUCAAAUGAAUAUGACUGAAGAAAAUCUCUGAAAUAUCUGUAUUUCCAAGGACUAUUAACAUAAAGAUUAAUUUAGAAUUAAAUGAAACCAAAGCCUCUGUAAUUCUAAAAAACAAAAGGUUUUCUAAAUAGCAAACAACCAUAUAUUUAUUGUUUGAGUCAAUUUUAUCAUAGGUUGCUUUGAUGUAUGUCAUUAAAACCUAUGAGGAAAAUUUUGAAAUAUGAAUUAGAUGAGAGUCUACCUAAUAAAUUCCCAAGAAGCAUCUCUGUUCUAAUAAUUUUUAAAAUUAAGCUAG